This 3022-nucleotide ribosomal RNA is filed under the name Staphylococcus aureus. Its description in RNAcentral is "23S ribosomal RNA". It matches the Rfam family "Bacterial large subunit ribosomal RNA". The record is from RNAcentral. Lineage: Bacteria; Bacillati; Bacillota; Bacilli; Caryophanales; Staphylococcaceae.
GAUUAAGUUAUUAAGGGCGCACGGUGGAUGCCUUGGCACUAGAAGCCGAUGAAGGACGUUACUAACGACGAUAUGCUUUGGGGAGCUGUAAGUAAGCUUUGAUCCAGAGAUUUCCGAAUGGGGAAACCCAGCAUGAGUUAUGUCAUGUUAUCGAUAUGUGAAUACAUAGCAUAUCAGAAGGCACACCCGGAGAACUGAAACAUCUUAGUACCCGGAGGAAGAGAAAGAAAAUUCGAUUCCCUUAGUAGCGGCGAGCGAAACGGGAAGAGCCCAAACCAACAAGCUUGCUUGUUGGGGUUGUAGGACACUCUAUACGGAGUUACAAAGGACGACAUUAGACGAAUCAUCUGGAAAGAUGAAUCAAAGAAGGUAAUAAUCCUGUAGUCGAAAAUGUUGUCUCUCUUGAGUGGAUCCUGAGUACGACGGAGCACGUGAAAUUCCGUCGGAAUCUGGGAGGACCAUCUCCUAAGGCUAAAUACUCUCUAGUGACCGAUAGUGAACCAGUACCGUGAGGGAAAGGUGAAAAGCACCCCGGAAGGGGAGUGAAAUAGAACCUGAAACCGUGUGCUUACAAGUAGUCAGAGCCCGUUAAUGGGUGAUGGCGUGCCUUUUGUAGAAUGAACCGGCGAGUUACGAUUUGAUGCAAGGUUAAGCAGUAAAUGUGGAGCCGUAGCGAAAGCGAGUCUGAAUAGGGCGUUUAGUAUUUGGUCGUAGACCCGAAACCAGGUGAUCUACCCUUGGUCAGGUUGAAGUUCAGGUAACACUGAAUGGAGGACCGAACCGACUUACGUUGAAAAGUGAGCGGAUGAACUGAGGGUAGCGGAGAAAUUCCAAUCGAACCUGGAGAUAGCUGGUUCUCUCCGAAAUAGCUUUAGGGCUAGCCUCAAGUGAUGAUUAUUGGAGGUAGAGCACUGUUUGGACGAGGGGCCCCUCUCGGGUUACCGAAUUCAGACAAACUCCGAAUGCCAAUUAAUUUAACUUGGGAGUCAGAACAUGGGUGAUAAGGUCCGUGUUCGAAAGGGAAACAGCCCAGACCACCAGCUAAGGUCCCAAAAUAUAUGUUAAGUGGAAAAGGAUGUGGCGUUGCCCAGACAACUAGGAUGUUGGCUUAGAAGCAGCCAUCAUUUAAAGAGUGCGUAAUAGCUCACUAGUCGAGUGACACUGCGCCGAAAAUGUACCGGGGCUAAACAUAUUACCGAAGCUGUGGAUUGUCCUUUGGACAAUGGUAGGAGAGCGUUCUAAGGGCGUUGAAGCAUGAUCGUAAGGACAUGUGGAGCGCUUAGAAGUGAGAAUGCCGGUGUGAGUAGCGAAAGACGGGUGAGAAUCCCGUCCACCGAUUGACUAAGGUUUCCAGAGGAAGGCUCGUCCGCUCUGGGUUAGUCGGGUCCUAAGCUGAGGCCGACAGGCGUAGGCGAUGGAUAACAGGUUGAUAUUCCUGUACCACCUAUAAUCGUUUUAAUCGAUGGGGGGACGCAGUAGGAUAGGCGAAGCGUGCGAUUGGAUUGCACGUCUAAGCAGUAAGGCUGAGUAUUAGGCAAAUCCGGUACUCGUUAAGGCUGAGCUGUGAUGGGGAGAAGACAUUGAGUNNNNNNNNNNNNNNNNNNNNNNNNNNNNNNNNNNNNNNNNNNNNNNNNNNNNNNNNNNNNNNNNNNNNNNNNNNNNNNNNNNNNNNNNNNNNNNNGUGUCUUCGAGUCGUUGAUUUCACACUGCCGAGAAAAGCCUCUAGAUAGAAAAUAGGUGCCCGUACCGCAAACCGACACAGGUAGUCAAGAUGAGAAUUCUAAGGUGAGCGAGCGAACUCUCGUUAAGGAACUCGGCAAAAUGACCCCGUAACUUCGGGAGAAGGGGUGCUCUUUAGGGUUAACGCCCAGAAGAGCCGCAGUGAAUAGGCCCAAGCGACUGUUUAUCAAAAACACAGGUCUCUGCUAAACCGUAAGGUGAUGUAUAGGGGCUGACGCCUGCCCGGUGCUGGAAGGUUAAGAGGAGUGGUUAGCUUCUGCGAAGCUACGAAUCGAAGCCCCAGUAAACGGCGGCCGUAACUAUAACGGUCCUAAGGUAGCGAAAUUCCUUGUCGGGUAAGUUCCGACCCGCACGAAAGGCGUAACGAUUUGGGCACUGUCUCAACGAGAGACUCGGUGAAAUCAUAGUACCUGUGAAGAUGCAGGUUACCCGCGACAGGACGGAAAGACCCCGUGGAGCUUUACUGUAGCCUGAUAUUGAAAUUCGGCACAGCUUGUACAGGAUAGGUAGGAGCCUUUGAAACGUGAGCGCUAGCUUACGUGGAGGCGCUGGUGGGAUACUACCCUAGCUGUGUUGGCUUUCUAACCCGCACCACUUAUCGUGGUGGGAGACAGUGUCAGGCGGGCAGUUUGACUGGGGCGGUCGCCUCCUAAAAGGUAACGGAGGCGCUCAAAGGUUCCCUCAGAAUGGUUGGAAAUCAUUCAUAGAGUGUAAAGGCAUAAGGGAGCUUGACUGCGAGACCUACAAGUCGAGCAGGGUCGAAAGACGGACUUAGUGAUCCGGUGGUUCCGCAUGGAAGGGCCAUCGCUCAACGGAUAAAAGCUACCCCGGGGAUAACAGGCUUAUCUCCCCCAAGAGUUCACAUCGACGGGGAGGUUUGGCACCUCGAUGUCGGCUCAUCGCAUCCUGGGGCUGUAGUCGGUCCCAAGGGUUGGGCUGUUCGCCCAUUAAAGCGGUACGCGAGCUGGGUUCAGAACGUCGUGAGACAGUUCGGUCCCUAUCCGUCGUGGGCGUAGGAAAUUUGAGAGGAGCUGUCCUUAGUACGAGAGGACCGGGAUGGACAUACCUCUGGUGUACCAGUUGUCGUGCCAACGGCAUAGCUGGGUAGCUAUGUGUGGACGGGAUAAGUGCUGAAAGCAUCUAAGCAUGAAGCCCCCCUCAAGAUGAGAUUUCCCAACUUCGGUUAUAAGAUCCCUCAAAGAUGAUGAGGUUAAUAGGUUCGAGGUGGAAGCAUGGUGACAUGUGGAGCUGACGAAUACUAAUCGAUCGAAGACUUAAUCAA